This 249-nucleotide unclassified non-coding RNA is filed under the name Hevea brasiliensis (rubber tree). The record is from RNAcentral. Lineage: Eukaryota; Viridiplantae; Streptophyta; Magnoliopsida; Malpighiales; Euphorbiaceae.
GGAGGUAGCACACCAAUGGAUAUAAUAGGUUUCUGAUAAAGCUCAGAAACCAAGCUGAACCAUUCGGAUUCAAACUCAACACAAUUUCGAAACAAUAUGACAUCACUUGCAUCAAUUGAAGCACCAAAUCUGGCUCCAUCAGAUGUACCUGAUUCAUCAGCUGGUGCUUCGAAAUUCUUCUUAAUCUCAUGCAGCCUAUACACAACUUUCGUUUCGAAAGGAAUCCAUUUUGGAACAACUGUAUAGUCC